This is an RNA transcript of Balaenoptera ricei (Rice's whale), 5950 nucleotides long. It is a transcript of the gene named transcription termination factor 2, with no coding region annotated. The transcript has 26 exons. The record is from RefSeq and is a predicted model, not a curated record. NCBI's taxonomy places the organism in Eukaryota, Metazoa, Chordata, Mammalia, Artiodactyla, Balaenopteridae.
AGGAAAGAAGCAGCGGGAUGGAAGUAGUUGGGUGUCCGCAGCACGGGACCUUAUGUAUUCUGAAGACCGGCGUCCGAGAUGGCCCGAAUAAAGGAAAGAGCUUCUACGUGUGCCGGGCGGACACAUGCAGCUUCGUGCGGGCCACCGACAUUCCUGUUUCUCAUUGUUUAUUGCAUGAGGACUUUGUGGUAGAGCUUCAGGGUCUGUUUCUAUCACAGGGCAAGAAAGAAUACAGGUUAUUCUUCCGAUGUGUUAGAAGUAAGGCAGAGGGGAAGCAAUGGUGUGGAAAUAUCCCAUGGCAGGAUCCUAAUUCCAAAGAACAUUCUGUAACCAGUAAGUCUCGGCAUGCCUCUGAGCCAUCUCGUUAUCCUUCCAGCCAGCAGAGAAACCCGUUCAAGUUAGUUGACAAGAAUCAAGAACCAUCCCUCCGGAAGCAGUUCAUCAAAGGUGAAGAUGAGGAAAAGACAGCUGGUAGGAAGCAAAGAGAAAAGGGAGAUCCACUCCUGGAUCAAAAGAAGGAACAGAAGCCUGAAUCUAAGUGCUGGACGGAGAAAGAUCUCUCAUCUGGCCUGGCGGUAAAGAAAAAACAAUCUGCUGUUCAAGAGACGCGGCGAGGGGAGAAGACAGAGUUUCAUAGUGCAGCAAAGGAGGUUGAAGGGAUGCACAAAAGAAACCUUUCUGAGAUGAAAUCCAAACAGGUCCGUGGGAGUGAGCUGAGAGGACCAUCUGCAUCUCAGGAGAAGUCAAAUGGUGAGAGUCAUUCUGUCCAAAAAGAAUCAGAACCUCCAAGGGAAAAGGACACUAAGACUUUGCCUCGAAUUGUUCACAGUCAACACCCAAUAAGCCAGCCCCUGAAAGGGGGACACCUCAGCAAGGAGCACCCCAAGAGCUGGGAAGCUAGAGAAACAAAGGCAAAGAAUGACCCAAGCACGCAGACCUGCCAUAAGAGUCUGCUCCAGGGCCAUUUGCAGGCACAGCUGGAGGCCCGGGACACGCCUGCUCCAAAGGGACCAGCUGCUCAGCCUGCACCGCCGGCCGCAGGGCAUCCCCAGGGAGAGAGGCGAGAUGCCGAUACACGCGGUGGUGACAGUGAGGAAGAUGACGUCGUUUUUGUUUCCUCUAAGCCAGGGAGCCCCUUGCUCUUUGACUUGACUCUAGACUCACAGAAGAAGGAGAACCUUAAAUGCCCUGGUCAGAGUGUGCAAAGAAAAAUUCCUCCUGACUCAGGCGUUUCCAAGAAGGGAGAAUCUUCAGACCCAGCAGCCCAGCGUGUGUACCUCACAACACAGCUGAAACAAAAGAAGAGAACACUGGCAUCUGUGAACAUCCAGGCUCUUCCAGACAAGGGUCAGAAGUUGUUCAAGCAACUUCAGGAGCUGGAGGAUGCACUCAGUGCCCUGGCCCUCUCCCCAGAGCAAGGCAUUAAUGAGAAGAGUAACACUCAAGUACCACAGCAGAGUAACUUCACCAAAACAACCACUGACCCUCCCCAGUUGGUGCCUCCCAAACCCCUGCAGGGCCGGGAUCUCCAGCCUCUGGGUUGUCUAGGACUGAAGGCUGCCCGCCAGGAGGCUGCUGGAGGGUCUGAUCAGUGCUGUGGAGGCCCCAUGAGCCAAGAUCGCCUUCGCUCAGUGUGGCAAAUCACAAGUGAAGCCAUUGAUGAGCUGCAUCGAUCACUUGAGUCACGUCCUGGCGAGACAGCUGUGGCAGAGGAUCCGGCUGGGUUGAAGAUCCCUUUGCUGCUGCACCAGAAGCAGGCAUUAGCCUGGCUGCUAUGGCGGGAAAGUCAGAAGCCACGAGGAGGAAUUCUGGCGGAUGAUAUGGGGUUAGGAAAAACCCUGACAAUGAUUGCACUCAUCCUGACCCAGAAGAAUCAAGAGAAAAACAAAGAAAAGGACAAAACCACGGGUUUGGCUUGGCUUUCCAAAAAUGACUCCUCUGAGUUCCCUUCCCAUGGAACACUAAUCAUCUGUCCUGCUUCCCUGAUCCAUCACUGGAAAAAUGAGGUGGAGAAAUGUGUGAGCAACAACAAACUAAGAGUCUACCUCUAUCAUGGGUCAAACCGGGAUCAACGUGCAAAAGCCCUCUCCACAUAUGACAUCGUGGUCACUACCUACAGCCUUCUGGCCAAGGAGAUUCCCACAAAGAAGCCAGAGGGAGAGAUGCCAGGUGCAAACCUCAGUGUGGAGGGUAUCUCGUCACCUUUGCUUCGAGUAGUCUGGGCUCGAAUCAUAUUGGAUGAAGCUCACAAUGUUAAGAAUCCCCGAGUGCAGACUUCCUUGGCUGUGUGUAAGCUCCAAGCCCAAGCCCGUUGGGCUGUCACUGGAACCCCCAUUCAGAACAACUUGUUGGACGUGUAUUCACUGCUGAAAUUUCUCCGUUGUUCUCCAUUUGAUGAACUCAGUCUGUGGAAGAGUCAGGUUGACAAUGGUUCAAAGAAAGGAGAAGAACGGUUAAAUAUUUUAACCAAGAGCCUUUUGCUGAGGAGAACAAAAGACCAGCUGGACCCCACCGGCAAGCCCUUGGUGGUGCUCCCCCAGCGUAAAUUUCAGUUGCACCAUUUAAAGCUUUCUGAAGAUGAAGAGAAUGUUUAUAGUGUCCUUUUUGCAAGAUCAAGGUCAGCUGUGCAGUCCUAUCUAAAAAGACAUGAAAGUGGGGGCAGCCAAUCUGGAAGAAACCUUGAUAAUCCAUUCAGUAGAGUGGCGCAGGAGUUUGGGUCCAGUGGGCCUGGGCUCUCGGUGGCAGCAGACUCGCAGACAUCUAGCACCGCCCACAUACUGUCACAGUUGCUGAGACUCCGCCAGUGUUGUUGUCAUCUUUCUCUGCUGAAGUCGGCCCUGGAUCCGAAAGAGCUGAAGAGUGAAGGCCUGGUCCUUUCCCUGGACGAGCAGCUCAGAGCCUUGACCUUGUCCGAAUUCCAUAACUCAGAGCCGUCUGCCUCCGUUUCCCUUAAUGGCAAAUGCUUCAAGGUGGAGCUUUUUGACGACAGGAGAGAGAGCACCAAGAUUUCAUCUCUGUUGGCAGAAUUGGAGGCAAUCCGAAGAAAUUCAGGGUCCCAAAAGAGUGUCAUCGUCUCUCAGUGGACCAGCAUGCUGAAGGUUGUAACCUUGCACCUUAAGAGGCAUGGACUGACUUAUUCCACCAUCGAUGGCUCUGUUAACCCCAAACAGAGAAUGGACUUGGUGGAGGCAUUUAACAACUCCAGGGGCCCUCAGGUUAUGCUAAUCUCUCUCUUGGCUGGAGGUGUUGGUCUAAACCUGACCGGAGGAAACCAUCUUUUUCUUCUGGACAUGCACUGGAAUCCGUCACUUGAAGAUCAAGCUUGUGACCGAAUUUACCGAGUAGGGCAGCAGAAAGAUGUUGUCAUACACAGAUUUGUUUGUGAGGGAACAGUGGAAGAGAAGAUCUUGCAGCUCCAAGAGAAAAAGAAAGAUUUGGCCAAACAGAUUCUAUCAGGAUCUGGAGAAGUUGUCACCAAGCUCACCUUGGCCGAUCUCAAAGUCCUUUUUGGCAUCUAACUUCCUGUUUAUGGGGCUCAGAAUAGUGCCAUUGUUGGUUUGUAUUAGGAUCUGGGGAGAAUGACCUAACCCUGGUCCUUUGAGCUCUCGUUGCCAUUCAGUUUCACCUUCAAGCCCGCCUCAAAGUGAGGAUCAGUUAUCAUGUUAACCACUUGGUUAACCAGUCAUGUUAAUCAAUCAAUGUAUUUAAUGUGUGACAUAGAAACCAAUAAAUUACUUCAGAUAAGAGAAAAUGCUUUAGAGUUAGAGAAUUUGGAAAACAACCUUGGGAGAGUUGUACCUAAGCUUCAGUAAAAGCUCAAAAAGCCCUCUGUUGCUUUUCUCUUCUCAGCUGGUGGCGACCCAAUGUUACUGCCUUUUCUAACACAGGCUCCAUCCCAUCUCUUCAUCUCCUGUCAACGAGGCUGCUCAUAUAACCAUCUCUUUAUGGGCUGAGCAGAAGCGGGUCUCUACGUAAUAUGUAGAUGAGACUACAUUUCCUAGUCUUCACUGCAGUUACAUGGGUCCGUAUUACUGAGUUCUAUGGAGAGAAGUGAUUUUCUUCAGCAUUAAGGUCAGGGGUCCUCUGGUGAUCUGAAGCCGUGCUGGCCGCAGCUGUGACCACAGACCCAGGAAGCCGUCAGAGGGCCACCGUCCUCAGUAGACUCCGUGCUGCGCUCUGCCCACCUGCCCACGUGCAUUCCGACUUUUCGGUAAACUUCCCACAGCACGACCAGUGGGGGCGCCCUGGGUGGCCUUUGUGUCCGUGGCCACAGCCUAGGUACCCACCUGCAUGGUUCAAAGAGGAGAGGGGAGAAUCACCAUUAGAGGAAAGUCCAGCGGUUACCACGGAAAUUAAUGCUCCUGGCGACAUUCAGACUCAUGGACGUGAAAACGUCUAAUAAAAACCCAGCGAGAGGAACAAGCUAUUCGACGCCUCUGUAGUCAGAAGAACUCUCAAGACUGAUGACAGCAAAUCAAUUCAGACUACCUUCCUGGAAACAAAGCCUAAGUCUGAACACCCCGAAGCUGGUCGCUGUGGUAGUUGAUCCCGCCGCCGGGAGACAGCAGCAGAGGGAGAGCGAGGGCUUUCAGGAGCAACUGGUUCCCCUUACCCGGCAUGGUGCCUCCACACGCGCAGCGAGCAGUCUUCUGGCCUCCGCUGGAGCAGAACGUGCAGCAGUGAAACACGCCUGGGUGUGAGCGGUGCCGUUUCCUCACGGUCACAGUGAAUGGUGAGCCCUUCAGUGUUCAGACCAAGAGCAAAGAACAGCACCUUGUGAGUCAACAGGGGUGUGCUGAGCGUCACACGUACUAAACAGAGUGUAAGCCGCAGGGCCUGUCCCCGGAGGGACGAGGACAGCAGGAGGGAGACAGCGACUGGGGGACAGCAACCAGCUGGGCGCUGAGCUGCACGGGGCCAGAUACAAAUGCAGUGAGCAGGGAGUCAAGGAAUCCGUGCUGCUCUCCCAGCAUGCAGACCACCUGACACACUAGGAAACCCAACUGUGCUUUCACGUCUCUGACCUUGGUCUCUAUCUCCUCCAUUCCUGAGCAAGCUUGGGUAACUAUAGAGCACACAACCACAAGGUGAGGACAUCUGUGGUCCUUUCUCCAAUUUCUCAGCCACACCCCCUCUCCCCUCACAUACUGAGCCAGCUCCUCUCCUUCCAUGCCUCCAUCCUGGACACAACUGUUUACCCAUCCCCUCACUCUGGGUUGGUGAAGAUAGAUGGAAGGGAGGAAGGUUAAGAGCCUGUGGUUAAUAAUUCUCAGAUUAGAAACCCUCCUGCCUCUUUUCCUUCAAGGAUAACUUCCAUUCUCUAAUUUCGACCCUAUGUUAAACAGUAAAUAUUUAAUAAGUGUUGCUAUGUGCCUAUCCCUGCAUGAGAACCACACAUUCUGCAAAAGCACAAAGCAGAGAGGCUGGCACCUUAGAAGCCUUUCAAAUGUUAAAUCUCUCUGUCUUUAAAGAGUUUACAGUCUAUUUUAAAAACAACCUGGAGUUCAAAGCUAUGGGUUCAAAUUAUGAUUUUGCCACACAGGUACUGUGUACUGUGGCAAGUUUGUUUUCUCGGUCCAGUUGGAUGAUGAUGCUUAUGCCUCAGUGAUUUGGAGGAAAAGUGAAAUAAUGUUUGUAAAAACACCUAACCCGGGCUUCCCUGGUGGCGCAGUGGUUGGGAGUCCGCCUGCCAAUGCGGGGGACACGGGUUCGAGCCCUGGUCCGGGAGGAUCCCACAUGCCGCGGAGCGGCUGGGCCCGUGUGCCGCAACUACUGAGUCUGCGCCACAACUACUGAGCCUGCGUGCCAUGGCUACCAAAGCCCACGUGCCUAGAGCCCGCGCUCUGCAAUGGGAGAAGCCACUGCGAUGAGAGGCCCGCGUACCACAAUGAGGAGUAGCCCCCACUCGCCACAACUAGAGAAAGACCGUGCGCAGCAACAAGGACCCAAU